Molecule: ribosomal RNA, 225 nt
Filed under: uncultured Exiguobacterium sp.
Lineage: Bacteria; Bacillati; Bacillota; Bacilli; Caryophanales
Description: partial 16S ribosomal RNA
Rfam family: Bacterial small subunit ribosomal RNA
Source: RNAcentral
CGCGCAGGCGGCCUCUUAAGUCUGAUGUGAAAGCCCCCGGCUCAACCGGGGAGGGCCAUUGGAAACUGGGAGGCUUGAGUAUAGGAGAGAAGAGUGGAAUUCCACGUGUAGCGGUGAAAUGCGUAGAGAUGUGGAGGAACACCAGUGGCGAAGGCGGCCCCCUGGACAAAGACUGACGCUCAGGUGCGAAAGCGUGGGGAGCAAACAGGAUUAGAUACCCGAGUA